This 502-nucleotide ribosomal RNA is filed under the name uncultured Sphingobacteriales bacterium. Its description in RNAcentral is "bacterial SSU rRNA". It matches the Rfam family "Bacterial small subunit ribosomal RNA", at positions 903 to 1382 of the family's 1533-position model. Lineage: Bacteria; Pseudomonadati; Bacteroidota; Sphingobacteriia; Sphingobacteriales. The record is from RNAcentral.
CGCCUUGCCAGCCCGCUCAGAACUUAAAGGAAUUGACGGGGCCCGCACAAGCGGAGGAGCAUGUGGUUAAUUCGAUGAUACGCGAGGAACCUUACCUGGGCUCGAACGUAAGAUGACUGUAGGUGAAAGCUUACAUCUCUUCGGAGCAUUUUACGAGGUGCUGCAUGGUUGUCGUCAGCUCGUGCCGUGAGGUGUCGGGUUAAGUCCCAUAACGAGCGCAACCCCUACCUUUAGUUGCCAUCAGGUAAUGCUGGGGACUCUAAAGGAACUGCCUACGCAAGUAGUGAGGAAGGCGGGGAUGACGUCAAAUCAGCACGGCCCUUACGUCCAGGGCUACACACGUGCUACAAUGGCCGAUACAGAGGGCAGCUACCUGGUGACAGGAUGCAAAUCUCCAAAGUCGGUCUCAGUUCGGAUCGGAGUCUGCAACCCGACUCCGUGAAGUUGGAUUCGCUAGUAAUCGCGCAUCAGCCAUGGCGCGGUGAAUACGUUCCCGGGCCUU